UAGCCUAAUGGUUAGAUAAGGCCUUAGUAGCACCUGAGGUCCUGGGUUCGACUCCUCGUUGGCCUAGUGGUUACAUAAGGCCUUAGUAGCACCUGAGGUCCUGGGUUCGACUCCUCGUUGGAGCGAAUUAUUCAUGAUUGUAACGGCUUUGUGCUUUCAGUGGGUGACGAUAUGAGGUUUGCACGCGCACGCGUGCAUUCCUAGAGGAGAGUCAUCAAAAAAAAUUGAAUAAUUGUCGUCAAUAUAGACAACGUUUGAUUUUCAGAGGACUCACAAUCAUCAUCUAUCUUCAUGAAAACUAUCCGUUUCUUAACAUUUCAGAGAUUUUUCUUU
Molecule: long non-coding RNA, 333 nt
Organism: Oryza brachyantha (malo sina)
Lineage: Eukaryota; Viridiplantae; Streptophyta; Magnoliopsida; Poales; Poaceae
Exons: 2
Source: RefSeq, a predicted model, not a curated record